RNAcentral lists this unclassified non-coding RNA (405 nucleotides) under soil metagenome. Its description in RNAcentral is "partial contains 5.8S ribosomal RNA, internal transcribed spacer 2, and large subunit ribosomal RNA". The stretch from base 1 to 122 matches the Rfam family "5.8S ribosomal RNA", at positions 35 to 154 of the family's 154-position model. The record is from RNAcentral.
GAUGAAGAACGCAGCAAAAUGCGAUACUUGGUGUGAAUUGCAGAAUCCCGUGAACCAUCGAGUUUUUGAACGCAAGUUGCGCCCGAAGCCUUUUGGCCGAGGGCACGUCUGCCUGGGCGUCACGCAUCGCGUCGCCCCCCCACAAUUCUCCGUAAAGGGAACAUGAGUUUUGGGGGCGGAUAUUGGUCUCCCGUGCUCAUGGCGUGGUUGGCCGAAAUAGGAGUCCUUUCGAUGGACGCACGAACUAGUGGUGGUCGUAAAAACCCUCGUCUUUUGUUUCGUGCUGUUGCUCGCAAGGUAAACUCUUUAAAAACCCCAAUGCGUCGUCUCUUGACGACGCUUCGACCGCGACCCCAGGUCAGGCGGGACUACCCGCUGAGUUUAAGCAUAUCAAUAAGCGGAGGA